Molecule: transfer RNA, 75 nt
Filed under: Corynebacterium pseudotuberculosis
Lineage: Bacteria; Bacillati; Actinomycetota; Actinomycetes; Mycobacteriales; Corynebacteriaceae
Description: tRNA-Gln
Source: RNAcentral
UAGAGCGAAAAUAUUGUAUGAUCUCCUUCGGUGGUUCCACUUAGUGCUUUAGGUAUUUUAGUGGCCUCAUCUUUC